Molecule: ribosomal RNA, 343 nt
Filed under: uncultured soil bacterium
Lineage: Bacteria
Description: bacterial SSU rRNA
Rfam family: Bacterial small subunit ribosomal RNA
Source: RNAcentral
AGAUUGAACGCUGGCGGCAGGCCUAACACAUGCAAGUCGAGCGGUAGAGAGGUGCUUGCAUCUCUUGAGAGCGGCGGACGGGUGAGUAAUGCCUAGGAAUCUGCCUAGUGGUGGGGGAUAACGUUCGGAAACGGACGCUAAUACCGCAUACGUCCUACGGGAGAAAGCGGGGGACCUUCGGGCCUCGCGCCAUUAGAUGAGCCUAGGUCGGAUUAGCUAGUUGGUGAGGUAAUGACUCACCAAGGCGACGAUCCGUAACUGGUCUGAGAGGAUGAUCAGUCACACUGGAACUGAGACACGGUCCAGACUCCUACGGGAGCAGCAGUGGGGAAUAUUGGACAAU